GGGAAGAUGGCCGAGCGGUUAUGGCGUUGCGUUCAGGCCUCCUAAGUCUAGACACAAUAUUCGCAAUGGGGCAACCCGCGUGGGUUCGAAUCCCACUCUUCUCA
Non-coding RNA from Microdochium nivale, 104 nucleotides. Lineage: Eukaryota; Fungi; Ascomycota; Sordariomycetes; Xylariales; Microdochiaceae. The record is from the annotation of a GenBank genome assembly.